Long non-coding RNA from Callithrix jacchus (white-tufted-ear marmoset), 1309 nucleotides. RefSeq lists it as uncharacterized. NCBI's taxonomy places the organism in Eukaryota, Metazoa, Chordata, Mammalia, Primates, Cebidae. The record is from RefSeq and is a predicted model, not a curated record.
UUCAUCAUUUACAAGGGACAAGCCAAUUCUAUUUCAGUUCUUGCAGGGAUAUCCAUAUACUUCCCAGUUAAAAUUAGCAUACAUUUCUUUAGCAACAUAGAAGAUGUGAAUGUUCUGCAGUUAUGAUGGGGAUGGGGGAAAGGACUGUUUGGCACACCAGUUUGAACCUCUCCAUUACAGCUGCUGGUUAACUUUUGGGGGAGGAGAGAUCUGCUAUUGCUCUUUAGGGAUUACCUUUACAUUGAAGAAAUAACUGACGGUUAUGCACUAGUUACAUUGACUGAAAAUGUGUAAAACAGUUUCACUGCUUUGAAUCAGGAAACAAAUCUGCUGAAGGAAGCUGCAGGUGAUUCAUGCCUAAACAUCAGGUGAUAAACACAUCUGCAGAGUCUUCAACAGAGGAGUUUUGAUUCCUGACACUUGAAAUAGGUUAUUCUGGCCACUCAAUAAAGGAUGGAUUCAAGGGUACACAAUGAAGAUUGACCUGUGAGUGCUUCACCAAUGAAAUGCAGUGGAAGUGAUGGUGUGGCAACUUCCAGGCAACUCUUGAAAAGGACUGGCAAAAUUGGCUUCGACUCUAUUGGAAAGCUGCUUCUUGUGAUACUGGCUCUCAGAACCCAGAUUCCAUUUCGUGAGAAGCACAAGUCACAUGCAGAGGCCAUGAAGACAAGCUAAGAUUAUGGUCUAGAUUCGUAGCUACAUGCUCAGUGAUUGCCUGUACAAAUUGACAGUCCUGUGAAUGAGUCAUUUUGGUUGUCCAGCUUGUCAAGGACUCAGAUGACUCCAGCCUUCUCUGUAAUUCCAACGACAUGAGGGGCCCUAAGCUAAUACUUACUAGUUGAUCCCAUCCAACUCCAGAGAUGUUAAACAUAAUAGGAAAAUUUAAUUUGUAAAUUUGGGGAAUAAUUUAAUAUGUAGGAAAACAUAACUAGGAUGGGUAUCUUUAAAGCCACUUGCUUUCAUGGGUGUCUUCUCAGGACUCCAUAUUUAAUUUUUAUAUUAAAAACUUUGUAUUGUUCGCCAUGAGGAGGUCCCCUCCAAUUAUAUAAGCUUCAGAAACCCAGGAUUUGCCCACUCUCUUACUUUCUCUAACCUCUCUUCUCUCCGACUUUCUAGUCUGCUUUUCUCAUUCUCUCUUUACCCAACCCUGUACCCACCUUUUGAAUAGGCCUUGCUAAUUUAGAAAAUGCCAUUACUUUGUUGUUUUAAAAUAUGCAUCCCAAUGAAGUUAUUUACUUUAAUCUUUGAUCUCUUUGUUGGUUGCUUACUGGAACUGAAUUCUAGAUCCCUGUCUUUAGAGAAAACAACA